AUAUAUCAACCUCCUCAACUUGUGUUGAGUGUUGGAUGUGGGGGGUUCUUUUUUUGCUGGCUUUUACGGUCAGCUCCCCUGAAAUGCAUUAGCGGAACAACCUGUUCACUGUUCAUUGGCGUGAUAACUAUCUACGCUGCUUGUUGACAGUGACGCAAGUUCAGCUUCUAACAGUCCAUUAAAUUGGACAAAUUUUUAUUA
Molecule: unclassified non-coding RNA, 201 nt
Filed under: Cortinarius caperatus
Lineage: Eukaryota; Fungi; Basidiomycota; Agaricomycetes; Agaricales; Cortinariaceae
Description: partial internal transcribed spacer 2
Source: RNAcentral